Molecule: long non-coding RNA, 140 nt
Organism: Bufo bufo (common toad)
Lineage: Eukaryota; Metazoa; Chordata; Amphibia; Anura; Bufonidae
Exons: 3
Source: RefSeq, a predicted model, not a curated record
ACUUACAUUGUUAGUGUUAUUUUGUAGCAGUGAGGUCAUGCAGAGACGCACAGCAUUAUAAAUCAGUAUAAUGCCGUGCGCUCCAGAGAAACGAGCAGUGUCCAUAACGGGGAAUCAUGCUCACACACGGAGCGCGAUUC